GCUAAGGUAAUGCUGUUGCUCUUUCAUUUUCCUUUUUUAACCUAUGAUUUUGUAUAUCGCGUCAAUGGUUCUUUCUGUGUGUAGGUUACUCUAAAAGAUAAAAGCUUGAAAGUAGAUGAGUUCGCUAUUAUCUGGUCGUCAUCGCCUGAUAUUUUGACAUAUAAGUCGUACUUCAGUACUCCAAAGUUAAUAGAAUUUGCAACAGAAGUGCCUGGUGAGAAGGCUUAUGCCUUCUUUUAUCCACCAUUCAGUCCCAUUUACCAUUCUAGUGGGGAUGAAAAGCCUCCAUUGUUGCUGGAAAGCCAUGGUAUGUACAAGGCAGCUUAAAUUUGACAAUGGUGGCUAAAUAGCGAUGUGACUUAGUUCCUGUUCUUUUAAUAAAAAAAAAAACAGAAUUUUUAGCAAUAGUUACAUUUCACACGGUAGGAACUAUCAUUUAAGAUGAUCAACUAAUGAUCAAAAGACUUUUGACGAGAAUUAUUCCUACAAUUCAAACACACUGGUCAUUGAUACUCAUGAACAUCUGUAUUUAUAUAUGAUUUUCUAGUAUUUUUCGAAAAUGUUAGUCAUUGAUUUCUUGGACAAAGACGGUCCAUGACGCUAAAAUCUCAAGGUGCUCACAUUUUAUUUAAAAUGGGUUUCAUCUUUGUUAAAUAAAUAUUUAGAUUCCUAACUAAAUUUAAAAAACUAAAACAAGUUUAGAAACUACAUUUUACAAAAAUAUAUUUCAAAAGUGUGCCUUAUUUUUUAAAAUUUGGCUAAAUUCAAACUUAUCUUUAGGAAAUGUGAAAACAAUACUAAAGAAUCAGUUAGGAAAAGUUUAAAUUUUGAAAUAGAACUCUAAAAAUGAACUUGUCAUUAAACAAAGGCAUAAGUAGCUUCCCUAUACUUUGGUUGCCAGCACCGUUAAAUUCUCAUAUUUAUUGCUUUCUCCUUGUUUAUAUAGUUUAUGUUUGAGUUAUGACAGGAGGCCCAACGGAUGAAGCGCGUGGAAUAUUAAAUCUAAGAAUUCAGUAUUGGACUAGUCGAGGAUGGGCUUUUGUCAAUGUUAACUAUGGAGGAAGCUCUGGUAUGUAUACUUGUGCAUUAUUAUUUUGCAGAAGUUUUCGGAGUUUUAAUAUAAUAGUACAAUUUUCCCAUUGGAAUGUCUUAAUUAUGGUUCUCUAAUGUCAAAUUUCAGCUUUUGACAUACUAACAAUAUAUGCAUGAUAUGAAUAGAUUUUGGAUUUUUAGCCUAGUUAAAGUUUUCAUUUAGAUAUUCUUGAAGCGAUUGUGCAUUGGUUCACUCUAAAUUAUAUUGGUGUAAGUGGUGGAUGAUACUUAUGCAAAUUCUUCUUAUUUUCAUUUCCUCUGCAUGAACCGCCAAUUGUGGUGCUAUUUAACUAAUGUGCCUAUCCUAAUAACUAUUGUGGUUUGUUUUGUUUAUUGAAGAAAAAAGGUGCAUUUUUGUGUUAGUAUAUUGUAUCAAGAAGUUUUUCUUUUCUGAAGGUUACGGGAGGGCCUAUCGAGAAAGGCUUUUGAGGAAGUGGGGAAUUGUUGAUAUCAAUGACUGUUGCAGCUGUGCAAGAUAUUUGGUGGAUCUCUUUUGACAUCUAUUUUCCUUCAAAACUUGAAAGUUGUGCUCAAUUCUUAAUAACAUGUUUGAAACAUUAUACUUAAUACUUAUUUGUGUAGGUCGAUUCAGGAUUAGUUGAUGCAGAACGAUUAUGCAUCGAUGGGGAAUCUGCUGGGGGAUACACUACACUAGCUGCUCUUGCUUUCAGAGAUACAUUUAAGGCAGGAGCUUCCUUGUAUGGUGUAAGUGACCAAUCAUAUAGUUGAUUCUAAAGUAUAAUUAUAAUAAUUUGUAUCAAAGCAUGGUUCUUAAAUGAUGUCUUGAUUGUGUCACUGAUGGUGUAUCUCUUUGCAAAGGGACUUUAUUCUUUUUUUAUUGUGUAAUACCUUUUGUUUUAAAGUGCUGUGUUUUAAGAAUUGCACAUUUCGUCAGCUACCGAUACGUUAGGGAAGAGAUGGAAUCCAUAUCAGAUAUGUAUCUGAUACGGAUUCAUCUAGAUACACCUUGGAUUUGUGUCUGAUAUGUGAUUCUGAGCAACACUUUUAUUUAAUUUAAUCUUGUGAAAAGAUAUGUUGAGAGAUAUAGUUUUAUAUUUUAAAAGUUUAAAUAAAAGAAAAAAAAAACUAUAAGUAAAUCAAAAGCUUAAUAAAGAAAAAAGAAACAAAACAAAAAUUAAGUACCAUGUCUAUCGUUGCCGACGUGUUAGUUGGAGACGAAGAUGAUGCUUGCGAUUAGAGGACCUUGAAAAAAAAGGGAAAUUGGGAAGACGAAGGGUUCAAUAAGAGAAUACAAAAACAAAGAAGAUUAAAUGAAAAGUGAAAAGAC
RNAcentral lists this long non-coding RNA (2380 nucleotides) under Cucumis sativus (cucumber). Its description in RNAcentral is "long non-coding RNA (CSAT_LNC001707)". Lineage: Eukaryota; Viridiplantae; Streptophyta; Magnoliopsida; Cucurbitales; Cucurbitaceae. The record is from RNAcentral.